Molecule: microRNA precursor, 53 nt
Filed under: Ciona intestinalis (vase tunicate)
Lineage: Eukaryota; Metazoa; Chordata; Ascidiacea; Phlebobranchia; Cionidae
Description: Cin-Mir-7_pre stem-loop
Source: RNAcentral
UGGAAGACUAGUGAUUUUGUUGUUAUAGCAACAACAAUCUAUGGUCUCCUGCA